Danio rerio (zebrafish) is the source of this 98-nucleotide microRNA precursor. Ensembl annotates it as microRNA 23a-2. Its record names the gene mir23a-2. Lineage: Eukaryota; Metazoa; Chordata; Actinopteri; Cypriniformes; Danionidae. The record is from Ensembl.
CUCUUCUGCCGGCCAGGGGAAUUCCUGGCAGAGUGAUUUUUAAACCUAAUGACUGAAUCACAUUGCCAGGGAUUUCCAAUGGCUCGUGUGACUCAGAG